Molecule: long non-coding RNA, 2876 nt
Filed under: Gossypium barbadense (sea-island cotton)
Lineage: Eukaryota; Viridiplantae; Streptophyta; Magnoliopsida; Malvales; Malvaceae
Description: long non-coding RNA (GBAR_LNC000317)
Source: RNAcentral
UUAAAGAAUUAAAUGGAUGAAAUAUGAAGUUUUAUUAAAAGAAAAAGGGGUGAAAAGAACAAAGUUUUGUCCAUCUUUGUUCAUCAUAGCUGAAAGUUAGAGAAGAGAAAGGAGAGGAGAAAGCUCUUGAGUGUUCGGUCACUUGGGGAAGAAAAUUAAAGGUAAGCUCAUGGUAGUUGGCUUCUAUCUUGAUGUUCAUGAGUUCUUCUUGAUUCUACCUUAACUCUUGAAGUAUAUUUUGGUUUUUAGUUGUGUUGUGAGCAUUUAGUCAUGAAUUAAAAUGAAGGAAAUGGUUGUUGUUUCAUGUUCUUUUGAUGAAAAAAAAUGGAAGAUAGGUGAAGUUGAGCCAAACAAAUGAGCAUGCAUGUGCCUUAGAUGUUAAAGGGAAAAAUCAGCUAACAUGUUGUGCUUUAAAAUGAUGAAAUGGAGAUUAUUCUUAAGUAAAAUCAUAGAUAUGUGAUGAUUGAUUGGUGAUAUACAUGUUUAAAUAACAUGCAUGCAAGGUAUGUGUGAAAGAGUGAUUUGGUAAUAAAUCUGCUUGGGAUAGCAGCAGUAACUUGAAUUUUGAAAAUCACCAUAAAUUGUGGGAGAUGAAUUAGAAGCUGAAUAAAUUAUGUAAUUAAAGCUUAUUGAGUCUAGUUUCUAAUGAAAUAAACAAGAACAUAUUUUGAAUUCUGUACAAUUAUAAAUUUGAUUCGUAAUGAAGAGUGGUCAGAUUAGUCAAACAGUGAAACAUGGGAAACUUUGAUAAAAAUCUGGUAUUGAUUGGCUAAAUCAAAAAUUCUGAAAAUUUUAUGGAUAGAAGAUAUAUGAGUAUAUUUUCAGGAAAAAUUAACGGAACUUGAUUUGGAGUUUCGUAGCUCCAGUUAUAAAUAAUUUAGUGACUGUUGCUCAGGAAGACAGCUUGCAGUGAAAUUAUGAUUAUGUGGUAAACAUUGACAAAAAUUUAUUAAUGAGUUGCUUAUUGAUUUCUUAUAAGCUUACUAUGAUCUGUAGGUGUGGUUGGCCAAAUAUUAUAAGGGGUUAAUACGUAGUUUGUAUUUGAAUAGUUAGAUUAACGUGUUAGUAAUCCAAUUGAAGGCAGUUCGUGUGUGGAUCUCGUCAGCAUAUCGUCGCAAACAGGUGUGUAACUAACACCCUCUUUCUUAGUCUGGAUCGGCAAAAGCCGAAAAGCUAAAAUGCCGAAAACCGGUAUUUUGUAGAUUUGCGAGUGUGCGAAUGCUCGUGAGGUAAAUCGAUUAAUGUUUUUGGUAAGCUGCAAUGUUUGGACUGCAAAGUGCAUGAUUUCUGUGCCCUCGAUAUUUUUGGGCUUAAUGGGCCAAAAUUGGAAUGAUGGGCCAACGGGCCCAAUUCGGUAAGAACCGUCGGUAGUGAUUCUGUUAGUACGUGAAAGGUAGGAAUAUGCAUGAAAAACCCUAAAAUAGAUAAAUUACUGAAAUACCUUUAAAAGUGGAAAAUUUAUAGUUUUACCCCUAGGAGAUAAAUUACCGAAAUACCCCUAGGGUUAAAUUGACCUAAAUGCAUGUUUGACUGUUGUUAUUUACUGCAUGCCAUGUUGUUAUUAUCUGAUGCAUGGGACUGGGAUAUUGACGUAGGAAGUACUAAAAGUGGCUUGUCCACGUACUGGAGGCUUUGCCUCAAUUUACUGUUAGCUGAGCAGCAAGGCUGCAACUGUAGAGUGUUGGGCUGGGUGGGUUGAGCUAUUCCUCACAUGGAGUGUAUGGCUGGUACGGGUGGAGUGUAGUGGUUGGUGGGUUGAGUAGUCUCCCCAAAUGGGCUUGCAUAUGUUUACUGAUGUUGCAUGUAUUUUGAAAUGGGCCUAUGGGCCAUACUGUUAUUUGAAUAAGGGGCUAAGGCCCAGUUUAUUGUAAUCUGAAAAAGGCUCUGGCCCAGUACCACUGUUACCCAAAUGGGCUUGCAUAUGUUUACUGAUGUUGCAUGUAUUUUGAAAUGGGCCUAUGAGCCAUACUGUUAUCUGAAUAAGGGGCUAAGGCCCGGUUUAUUGUAAUCUGAAAAGGGCUCUGGCCCAGUACCACUGUUACCUGAAUGGGCUUAGGCCUAAUGGGAUUGAGCUAACUUGGGCUUUGAAUGGGUUUUCCUUAUACACUGAGUUUCCCCAAACUCACCCCUUUUGUUUUCAUCCACGCAGGAAAUCCCCAACCAUAGUGGGCUUGGAGCUGUGAGGGAAUUCGGAGUGGCCACCCGUUCUGAAAGUUUGAUUUUCUUCUGGUGAACUUGACAUCCUUUUAUUUACGUUUGAAGUUUUGGGUUUUUAAAUGUAAUAAGGCCGCUUAAUUAUUUUUGAUGGUUUUAAUAUGUAUUACUAAGAUAGGUAAUACUUAUUUUAACUGUUGAAAUUGGAUAGCUUUAGGGCGCGUUUUCAAAAACAACAGUUGAUUUCAAAAUAACACGACAACAAGCAAAGCUUCCGCAAUGAAAGUAUUUUUCCAAAAUUAAUCACUUUUCCUAAAAAUGACUUAAUCAAAUCGGUUUCCUAGAAAUAUCCAUGACGUUAAGGUGUGGCAAUGGUGGUAUGCAUGUCUAGGAUUUGUUCCGAAGGGAGCUUGGUACUUAAGCAGUCCGAUGGACUCACCACCUCUUUUCCGGUUUCCUACCUGGUGCACAGCUUCCAUUCACUUUAACCCUUAAUGAAUUAAUCUUUUGAACAUCAAGUACGAUUUUCUGGACUUAGAAUGGAAAUUUUUUUUUUAACAUUUUUGAUGUGGCAUGUCGGAUCCGACCAUAACUUCUGGGCCGGAUUUGGGGUGCUACAUAUACUACACCGAAUUAAUAUUGGUAAUUAGGCUACUUAAUGGAUAAUUACGAUACUUUCCCAUAUAUCUGUUCCAUAUAUAUAGCUUUCUAAUAUAUCUUCC